GAGCUACAUCCCAGCCCACAAAUACUAAAAUUGGAAUGAUAUAGAGAAGAUUAGCAUGGCUCCUGCACAAGGAUGAUCCUGACAUAAUGAUCAAUGAUUUU
Molecule: small nuclear RNA, 101 nt
Filed under: Castor canadensis (American beaver)
Lineage: Eukaryota; Metazoa; Chordata; Mammalia; Rodentia; Castoridae
Source: RNAcentral